GACGAACGCUGGCGGCGUGCCUAAUACAUGCAAGUAGGACGCAGUUGCGAACGGGUGAGUUACGCGUAGGUAUCUACCUGUUAGAGGGGGAUAACUAUUGGAAACGAUAGCUAAUACCGCAUACUAGUAGAUGGAUCUGCGUUGUAUUAGCUAGUAGGUAGGGUAAUGGGCUACCUAGGCAACGGUACAUAGGCGACGUUGGAGGGGGGGCGGCCAGACUGGGAAUGGGAGACGGGCCAGACUGCUACGGGAGGGAGCAGGAGGGGAUCUUAGGAAAUGGGGGGAACGCUGACCGAGCAACGGCGGGGGAGUGAAGAAGGUUAUGGGGGGGUAAAGCUCGGUUGUUAAGGAAGCGGUAAAUAACCAGGAAGGGACGGCUAACUACGUGCCAGCAGCCGCGGUAAUAC
Molecule: ribosomal RNA, 407 nt
Filed under: uncultured bacterium
Lineage: Bacteria
Description: partial 16S ribosomal RNA
Rfam family: Bacterial small subunit ribosomal RNA
Source: RNAcentral